This 82-nucleotide transfer RNA is filed under the name Candidatus Woesebacteria bacterium. Its description in RNAcentral is "tRNA-Leu". It matches the Rfam family "tRNA". Rfam says of the family: Transfer RNA (tRNA) molecules are approximately 80 nucleotides in length. Their secondary structure includes four short double-helical elements and three loops (D, anti-codon, and T loops). Further hydrogen bonds mediate the characteristic L-shaped molecular structure. tRNAs have two regions of fundamental functional importance: the anti-codon, which is responsible for specific mRNA codon recognition, and the 3' end, to which the tRNAs corresponding amino acid is attached (by aminoacyl-tRNA synthetases). tRNAs cope with the degeneracy of the genetic code in two manners: having more than one tRNA (with a specific anti-codon) for a particular amino acid; and 'wobble' base-pairing, i.e. permitting non-standard base-pairing at the 3rd anti-codon position. Lineage: Bacteria; Candidatus Woeseibacteriota. The record is from RNAcentral.
GCCGGGAUGGUGAAACUGGUAGACACGCAUGGUUUAGGACCAUGUGCCGUAAGGUGUGAGGGUUCGAGUCCCUCUCCCGGCA